Molecule: transfer RNA, 65 nt
Filed under: Pediacus sp. MJ-2020
Lineage: Eukaryota; Metazoa; Arthropoda; Insecta; Coleoptera; Cucujidae
Description: tRNA-Asp
Source: RNAcentral
GAAAAUUUAGUUAAUUUAUAACAUUAGUAUGUCAAACUAAAAUUAUUUCCAAUAAAUAUUUUUCU